RNA transcript from Sorghum bicolor (sorghum), 1114 nucleotides. It is a transcript of the gene named superoxide dismutase [Cu-Zn], chloroplastic, with no coding region annotated. The transcript has 7 exons. NCBI's taxonomy places the organism in Eukaryota, Viridiplantae, Streptophyta, Magnoliopsida, Poales, Poaceae. The record is from RefSeq and is a predicted model, not a curated record.
GCAGCCGUAGGUGCCCCUCGAGUAUAAUAAACGCGAGCCCACCUUAUCGCCAGUCACCCACCCCACCCCAAGACCCUCCCAAAGUCCCAAAGGCCGCCGCCGCCCGCCAGCCUGCCAUGGCCGCGCAGUCCUUCCUCCUCGCAGCCACGGCCACGGCCACGACCGCCGCGCUCUUCGCGGCUCCCUAUUCCUCCGCACGCCCUUUCCACUCGGCCCACUUCGUCGCCGGCCCGGGGGGCGCCGCCGCCGCCAGGGCACUCGUCGUCGCCGACGCGUCUAAGAAGGCCGUAGCCGUCCUCAAGGGCACGUCCGAGGUCGAGGGCGUCGUCACGCUCACGCAGGACGACGACGGACCUACAACUGUGAACGUCCGUAUCACUGGACUUACUCCUGGACUUCAUGGCUUCCACCUCCACGAGUUUGGUGAUACUACCAAUGGGUGCAUAUCGACAGGACCACAUUUUAAUCCAAACAAUCUGACACACGGUGCACCAGAAGACGAAGUCCGUCAUGCGGGUGACCUGGGAAACAUUGUUGCCAAUGCUGAGGGCGUAGCUGAGGCAACCAUUGUUGAUACCCAGAUUCCAUUGAGUGGCCCAAAUUCAGUUGUUGGGAGAGCAUUUGUGGUUCAUGAGCUUGAAGAUGAUUUGGGGAAAGGUGUGCCUAGUUCUACUUGCAUUCCACAUUUUCUUUCUAUUCAGUUAGUACGCAACCCUUUUAACUUUGUUCUUUGUGUUUAGGUGGCCAUGAGCUCAGCCUCUCUACUGGAAAUGCUGGUGGAAGACUGGCAUGUGGUGUUGUUGGCCUGACUCCAUUGUAGGUUGCUCGCCGGGUGCCCGGGUUGCAGUUGCAGCUUCGCUGUUACAUCCUUGGUGGCCUGUUGUCUUCAAUAGUGUUAUUGGGACAGUGCCUUUUUUUUGUAUUACUUGGAUUCAUGCCAUGCAUGGUAUGGUGCGUAAUAUCCUUUGCAGUUCGGUUGUAUAAAAAAUAAUAUUUAGCUGAGGAAAUAAGUGUUGUCACAUAUCCAAAUCGAUCUAUGAAGCACUAUGAACAUCAACUAUUUACUGCUACGUUGUUUUCGUACCUGAAACGUUUGAACAUGCCUGUUCUUGCA